Parelaphostrongylus tenuis is the source of this 73-nucleotide non-coding RNA. The record is from the annotation of a GenBank genome assembly. Lineage: Eukaryota; Metazoa; Nematoda; Chromadorea; Rhabditida; Metastrongylidae.
GCCUCGGUGGUGUAGUGGUAUCACGUGCCUCCCGUUAUGGGUGAAACGCGGGUUCACCUCUCGCCUGAGAUCA